Molecule: unclassified non-coding RNA, 329 nt
Filed under: soil metagenome
Description: partial contains 5.8S ribosomal RNA, internal transcribed spacer 2, and large subunit ribosomal RNA
Rfam family: 5.8S ribosomal RNA (bases 1-120)
Source: RNAcentral
GAUGAAGAACGUAGCGAAAUGCGAUAAGUAAUGUGAAUUGCAGAAUUCAGUGAAUCAUCGAAUCUUUGAACGCACAUUGCGCCCCUUGGUAUUCCGGGGGGCAUGCCUGUUCGAGCGUCAUUACAACCCUCAAGCUCUGCUUGGUCUUGGGCGUCACCGGUCCCCGGUGUGCCUUAAAAUCAGUGGCGGCGCCAUCUGGCUCUAAGCGUAGUACAUACUCUCGCUACAGACGUCCGGUGGAUGCUGGCCAGCAACCCCCAAUUUAUCAAGGUUGACCUCGGAUCAGGUAGGGAUACCCGCUGAACUUAAGCAUAUCAAUAAGCGGAGGA